GGCGCUAUCGUCUAGUGGUCAGGACACGGCCUUUUCAAGGCUGUAACACGGGUUCGACUCCCGUUAGCGCCG
RNAcentral lists this transfer RNA (72 nucleotides) under bacterium. Its description in RNAcentral is "tRNA-Glu". It matches the Rfam family "tRNA". From Rfam's summary of the family: Transfer RNA (tRNA) molecules are approximately 80 nucleotides in length. Their secondary structure includes four short double-helical elements and three loops (D, anti-codon, and T loops). The record is from RNAcentral.